Molecule: long non-coding RNA, 509 nt
Organism: Bos taurus (domestic cattle)
Lineage: Eukaryota; Metazoa; Chordata; Mammalia; Artiodactyla; Bovidae
Source: Ensembl
GCUUUGGAGCCGUCCUGCCUCCCCUCACCCCCCGGACACAUCCAGAGUCCUUCCCAGCAUUCAGGCAUCAAUUCCGCUCGCUUCCCGGGUCCCGGGCUACAGGGUGCCUAGUGGUGAGCCCCACCCUACCUAAACCGUGCCCUCAGUGGUAGGAGCGUGUCCUCACCCUCAGGGUGCCUUGGCCGGGCGCCUCUGGGCUGUUUCCAAGUGCCGACAGUAGCAGCAGUGGCCAGAGAGUUGGGCCAGGUGGCUGUGACCCGCGGGCGCGAGGAGCCGUCUGGAGAGCAGGCGCUGCUGGCCGAGGGCGGGCCCGGAGUCUGGGUGGAGGGGGGUCGCUGUCCUGCGGGCCGGGGCCAGGAGCGACUCGUGAGCGUCUGUGUGUCGGCCAGGGAGAGAGCACGGGAUGCAGGCGCGCGGUAGGAAUAUGACUACCCCAUAGGAUUGGUGUGAGAGGAAGAGGCAGAACACAAAUGGGGACGAGCAGAACAUGGAAGAUUUCAACCUACAGG